UACGAAGGGUGCAAGCGUUACUCGGAAUUACUGGGCGUAAAGCGUGCGUAGGUGGUUCGUUAAGUCUGUCGUGAAAGCCCCGGGCUCAACCUGGGAAUGGCGAUGGAUACUGUCGGGCUAGAGUGCGGAAGAGGCGAGUGGAAUUCCUGGUGUAGCGGUGAAAUGCGCAGAUAUCAGGAGGAACACCUAUUGCGAAGGCAGCUCGCUGGGACGUUACUGACGCUGAGACGCGAAAGCGUGGGGAGAAAACAGG
Molecule: ribosomal RNA, 253 nt
Filed under: uncultured bacterium
Lineage: Bacteria
Description: partial 16S ribosomal RNA
Rfam family: Bacterial small subunit ribosomal RNA
Source: RNAcentral